UACGUAUGGUGCAAGCGUUAUCCGGAUUUACUGGGUGUAAAGGGAGCGCAGGCGGCACGGCAAGCCUGAUGUGAAAGCCCGCGGCCCAACCGCGGGACUGCAUUGGGAACUACCGGGCUGGAGUGCCGGAGAGGUAGGCGGAAUUCCUAGUGUAGCGGUGAAAUGCGUAGAUAUUAGGAAGAACACCAGUGGCGAAGGCGGCCUACUGGACGGUGACUGACGCUGAGGCUCGAAAGCGUGGGGAGCAAACAGG
RNAcentral lists this ribosomal RNA (253 nucleotides) under uncultured bacterium. Its description in RNAcentral is "partial 16S ribosomal RNA". It matches the Rfam family "Bacterial small subunit ribosomal RNA", at positions 524 to 776 of the family's 1533-position model. The record is from RNAcentral.